Molecule: ribosomal RNA, 395 nt
Filed under: uncultured bacterium
Lineage: Bacteria
Description: bacterial SSU rRNA
Rfam family: Bacterial small subunit ribosomal RNA
Source: RNAcentral
GUGUCAGCCGCCGCGGUAAUACGUAGGUGGCAAGCGUUAUCCGGAUUUAUUGGGCGUAAAGCGAGCGCAGGCGGUUGUUUAGGUCUGAUGUGAAAGCCUUCGGCUUAACCGAAGAAGUGCAUCGGAAACCGGGCGACUUGAGUGCAGAAGAGGACAGUGGAACUCCAUGUGUAGCGGUGGAAUGCGUAGAUAUAUGGAAGAACACCAGUGGCGAAAGCGGCUCUCUGGUCUGUAACUGACGCUGAGGUUCGAAAGCGUGGGUAGCAAACAGGAUUAGAUACCCUGGUAGUCCACGCCGUAAACGAUGAAUGCUAGGUGUUGGAGGGUUUCCGCCCUUCAGUGCCGCAGCUAACGCAAUAAGCAUUCCGCCUGGGGAGUACGACCACAAGGUUGAA